UACGGAGGGAGCUAGCGUUGUUCGGAUUUAUUGGGUUUAAAGGGUGCGUAGGCGGCCUAUUAAGUCAGGGGUGAAAGACGGUGGCUCAACCAUCGCAGUGCCUUUGAUACUGAUGGGCUUGAUUACACUUGAGGUAGGCGGAAUGUGACAAGUAGCGGUGAAAUGCAUAGAUAUGUCACAGAACACCAAUUGCGAAGGCAGCUUACUAAAGUGUAAAUGACGCUGAGGCACGAAAGCGUGGGGAUCAAACAGG
Molecule: ribosomal RNA, 253 nt
Filed under: uncultured bacterium
Lineage: Bacteria
Description: partial 16S ribosomal RNA
Rfam family: Bacterial small subunit ribosomal RNA
Source: RNAcentral